UCCCUGGUGGUUCAGUGACUAAGACAUAUGCUUCCAAAGCAGGGGACCCAGUUUCAAUCCCUGGUCAGGGAA
RNAcentral lists this transfer RNA (72 nucleotides) under Bos taurus (domestic cattle). It matches the Rfam family "tRNA". From Rfam's summary of the family: Transfer RNA (tRNA) molecules are approximately 80 nucleotides in length. Their secondary structure includes four short double-helical elements and three loops (D, anti-codon, and T loops). Further hydrogen bonds mediate the characteristic L-shaped molecular structure. tRNAs have two regions of fundamental functional importance: the anti-codon, which is responsible for specific mRNA codon recognition, and the 3' end, to which the tRNAs corresponding amino acid is attached (by aminoacyl-tRNA synthetases). tRNAs cope with the degeneracy of the genetic code in two manners: having more than one tRNA (with a specific anti-codon) for a particular amino acid; and 'wobble' base-pairing, i.e. permitting non-standard base-pairing at the 3rd anti-codon position. The record is from Rfam by way of RNAcentral. RNAcentral also lists the same sequence under 4 other names. Lineage: Eukaryota; Metazoa; Chordata; Mammalia; Artiodactyla; Bovidae.